CAAAAAAUGGGUUUUGUAGCACUGUUCAUUAUACACAAAUAUAUUUAGUUACAUUAAAACAUACACAUUUAUUUUUAAGACAAAAUACAAGUGUAAUGUGUUAUGCUAAAUCAAUUUGUUAUUCACUCUAGUUUACCUAACUACCUAUCUUUAAACUAAAGUAAUUGGUUUACUUUUGCGAUUCAAACUACCGGAUGUGACGUCAUUUAACGACUUCCACGAAGACGGCGCGGAGCUCUGGCGCGCAGGUGAUGGUGUAACACACCGUCAUACCACAAAGACUUCUCCAGUCUGGCUAAAAGUUACAAAAGGUGAUCCUUCAGUAUGCCAUUUUUACUUCAGUGAGUGACCUGUCAAAGGAAAUAGAAAAACAAUGUAAUCUACAAGGACAUUUAAGGCUGCAGUUCAUGGAUUCUGACUUGGGCAAUUAGUUUUUAAAUCUCAUGUACACAUCUGAAAUUCAAGACAAAAGUACACUAAAGGUGGUAUUUCUGACAACACCAAGUGAUUGUGACAACUCGCCCCCACCACAACUGAACAGUUUUCAAAGGAGUACCUGCUCAUCACCAGCUCUUUCACUUUCAUCCUGUGACACAGUAGUUUUGUCAACCCCAUCUACUUCAUUAAGCUCUGACUGUGUUGCAAAAGCGUGUCUUGCCAAAUAUAUAACAAAACUGAGAAAAAUUGGCUGUACUGAAGUGAAAUUAAAUUUACUCAAGCCCAAACCAGCUGGAAUUUCCAAUGCUGCUUACCAUAUAAAACAAACAUGCAACGCUGAGGUGAACUACUGCCCUUACCAUCCACAAACGGAGACAUCCAAAACACUGGAAGUAGUCAGUGUAAUACUUCUGUCUGAAAUUAAAAAGAACAAUGAGAAAACAUUAUGAAUGCUGAUGGACAAGACCUUUUCUAUCAGGAGACAUGAGGUUGUCAAGGAGUCGCCUUCAAUAGCAGAUUUCAAAACUAGAUGGCCUGCUCUUUUCAGAAGGGAAGAGAUUUGUGCAGAGUUUAAAAGAAUCGCAACAGCCCCAUUGGUGUCUACAUACUUGGCGAAGAUGGAUCAAUAUUCUGCAAAGGAUCUAUGCAAAACGAGGAGUCAUCAAUUGACCGAGAAUUAAAAACCACAACACGGACUGACAACAUUGAUCAGGCUCCAAUCUUUCUUUGUCUACCUGAAUGAAGACCUGACCAGUCUAAUUAAAGAGUAUUUGGAUACAGAUGCACCCAGUACCCAGGAGGCGAUCCAGAAGAUGGUGAUGGGAGUCCUUGUUGUAAAAAUGUAUGGUUCAGACAUCGAAGACAGCCCAGCAGAUGUUGGAGUGUUAUUGAAGGGAUUAAGAGUUCUUGGACCUCAACAACAUUGUGUAUGCGACAACCAUGCUGAUGGGACUGAUAUAUGCACUGAACUUGAGCUACUUUCCUGAAUUCAGGUACACUUUUGAAGUAUUGCAGUUGGUGUUUCUGGAGCUAGAUGGGAAGUAACUAUCUCAUAAAGUUCAGACGCUGAAGACCAAGCCUUUUGCAGAUGUUUUGAGAAAGGAAUGUUUUAAUAUUUCAUAUGUAAAUGCCAUGUUUUUGAAAUGGAGUUUUCGUGCAUUUCAUUUGUCAGUAACUGUAAAAAAAUUGUAAUGUUGUUAUAAGGUUACAUUGUAAUAUCCAAAGUCCUUAAAAGCUUUGCAAGCUUUUCAAGUUGAUGAGUGCAUCUCAUUUGUUGGUAUAUCCUUUACAGUAUCUGUAGUUUAAGUGCAAUAAACAUGGCUUGAAGAACUGGUGUAUGAGAUUUCUUUUUUGAAUAAAAUGAAUGCUAUAUAGAGUUUAUUACAAAAAGUAUAUUUUUGUGUGUGAUGUACUUGAAAUAGACAUUGUUGUGUUAAAGUAACUAAAAGUAAUUGGAUGGAACCACUGUCCACAAUGUAAU
This is a non-coding RNA of Misgurnus anguillicaudatus (oriental weatherfish), 1918 nucleotides long. The record is from RefSeq and is a predicted model, not a curated record. Lineage: Eukaryota; Metazoa; Chordata; Actinopteri; Cypriniformes; Cobitidae.